RNAcentral lists this transfer RNA (71 nucleotides) under Coniochaeta ligniaria NRRL 30616. It matches the Rfam family "tRNA". Rfam says of the family: Transfer RNA (tRNA) molecules are approximately 80 nucleotides in length. Lineage: Eukaryota; Fungi; Ascomycota; Sordariomycetes; Coniochaetales; Coniochaetaceae. The record is from Rfam by way of RNAcentral.
GCGCCAGUGGUUUAGUGGUAAAAUCCAUCGUUGCCGUCGAUGGGCCCCGCGUUCGAUUCGCGGCUGGCGCA